CCAGUUGGUCGGAGAACCGCGCUUGAUUUCGGUCAGGUGAGGAAAGUCCGGACUUCACGGAAAUACGGUGCCGGUUAAUGGCCGGGCAGGGUGACUUGACGGAAAGUGCAACAGAGAGCAAACCGCCGAUGGCUCGCAAGAGAUCAGGUAAGGGUGAAACGGUGCGGUAAGAGCGCACCACUCGUCUGGUAACAGACAGGUAUGGCAAACCCCACCGGAAGCAAGACCAAAUAGGGGCUGCACAUGAUCCAUUUCCGGAUCGUGGCCCGGGUAGGUUGCUGGAGGUUUGUGGUAACACAAAUCCAAGAGGAAUGGUUCUCGCUCCUUCGGGAGUACAGAAUCCGGCUUAUAGACCAACUGGCUUU
RNAcentral lists this RNase P RNA (365 nucleotides) under Alphaproteobacteria bacterium. RNAcentral describes it as "RNase P RNA component class A". It matches the Rfam family "Bacterial RNase P class A". From Rfam's summary of the family: Ribonuclease P (RNase P) is a ubiquitous endoribonuclease, found in archaea, bacteria and eukarya as well as chloroplasts and mitochondria. Its best characterised activity is the generation of mature 5'-ends of tRNAs by cleaving the 5'-leader elements of precursor-tRNAs. RNAcentral also lists the same sequence under 1 other name. The record is from RNAcentral. Lineage: Bacteria; Pseudomonadati; Pseudomonadota; Alphaproteobacteria.